GGGGUAGUAGUAUAAGCUAUUAUGCUGCUUUUCCAAAGCAGCGAUCUAAUAAUUAGCUGCCCCA
RNAcentral lists this transfer RNA (64 nucleotides) under Cichlidogyrus mbirizei. Its description in RNAcentral is "tRNA-Gly". The record is from RNAcentral. Lineage: Eukaryota; Metazoa; Platyhelminthes; Monogenea; Dactylogyridea; Ancyrocephalidae.